CACGUAGGGUGCGAGCGUUGUCCGGAAUUAUUGGGCGUAAAGAGCUCGUAGGCGGUGUGUCGCGUCGGCCGUGAAAACCCGCAGCUUAACUGCGGGCCUGCGGUUGAUACGGGCGGGCUAGAGUUCGGUAGGGGAGACUGGAAUUCCUGGUGUAGCGGUGAAAUGCGCAGAUAUCAGGAGGAACACCGGUGGCGAAGGCGGGUCUCUGGGCCGAUACUGACGCUGAGGAGCGAAAGCGUGGGGAGCGAACAGG
This 253-nucleotide ribosomal RNA is filed under the name uncultured bacterium. RNAcentral's name for it is "partial 16S ribosomal RNA". It matches the Rfam family "Bacterial small subunit ribosomal RNA", at positions 524 to 776 of the family's 1533-position model. The record is from RNAcentral.